RNAcentral lists this ribosomal RNA (266 nucleotides) under uncultured bacterium. Its description in RNAcentral is "partial 16S ribosomal RNA". It matches the Rfam family "Bacterial small subunit ribosomal RNA", at positions 263 to 529 of the family's 1533-position model. The record is from RNAcentral.
GCCUACCAAGGCGUCGACGGGUAGCCGGCCUGAGAGGGUGGACGGCCACAUUGGGACUGAGACACGGCCCAGACUCCUACGGGAGGCAGCAGUGGGGAAUAUUGCACAAUGGGCGCAAGCCUGAUGCAGCGACGCCGCGUGGGGGAUGAAGGCCUUCGGGUUGUAAACUCCUUUCAGCCAUGACGAAGCUGGCCUUGUUGGGUCAGUGACGGUAGUGGUAGAAGAAGCACCGGCUAACUACGUGCCAGCAGCCGCGGUAAUACAAA